UAUCUCCUAAAAAUCCUCCUAGUGUCGUCCCCCUCACCCCCUCACUCUCCACCUUUUUGUUUUUUUCCACCUUUUUGUUUGUUUCCUCUUCACUUUUGUUGCUGUAACCUCCUCUUUGUCGAAUUUUCUCUGCUUUCUCCUUCUUUCUUUUUCUUUUUUCUUCAUUUUUUCAUUGUUUACAUAAUUUUACGAUUAACGCUCUCUUCUUUUCCUCAUUUGUUGUCCCUACCUUAUGUGUUGCUGCUGUCUAGAUUUUGAUUCUUCCUAGUGUCAUCGGUAACCUUCUGGUUUUGGUGUUAGCCGUGUGUGAUCUGAAGUUUGGCGUAGUAUCUUAAUUUUUUUAAGUGAGGAUUGUGAGGAACACGCCCCUCUUGCAAAUUAAGUGCCUUGGAAACCACCGCUUCUAAGGAACUCGGAUUGAUGCUGUUGUGUUGACAUCCCGAAAACAAUCUAGUGUGUGUAACUUGAAAACUUGUAAAUUCAUGCAAAACCGAUAGUGGGCAGUCACGACACAUGGGCGUGUACCUGGCCGUGUGGACUACACGAGUGUGUGCCCUAGGAGUGUGAGCUACACGGAUUGAUUAAGUACGGUAUGUGGGCCACAAUGGCAUAUGAGCUUAUUUCAAAUAAUUUUUAGGGUCGUGUUUUGAGUCGAAUAAGUGAGUUUAAUAGUACGCUAAAAUCUAUUAUGUAAACUACCAUAUGUAAAUUUUCUGAAGGCAUGCGAAAUCAUGAAAAGUUGUGUACUUGAUUGUAUGUUUGUGUGUAUGAGCAUGUCUUUAAUAAGUAACUUCGAAUAAGUUAUAUGCAUGCCUCCAAUCUAUUAAUUUGUAUGCUC
Long non-coding RNA from Gossypium arboreum, 838 nucleotides. RefSeq lists it as uncharacterized. NCBI's taxonomy places the organism in Eukaryota, Viridiplantae, Streptophyta, Magnoliopsida, Malvales, Malvaceae. The transcript has 3 exons. The record is from RefSeq and is a predicted model, not a curated record.